CCUACGGGCGGCAACAGUGAGGAAUAUUGGUCAAUGGGCGCGAGCCUGAACCAGCCAAGUAGCGUGAAGGAUGACUGCCCUACGGGUUGUAAACUUCUUUUAUAAAGGAAUAAAGUGAGGCACGUGUGCCGUUUUGUAUGUACUUUAUGAAUAAGGAUCGGCUAACUCCGUGCCAGCAGCCGCGGUAAUACGGAGGAUCCGAGCGUUAUCCGGAUUUAUUGGGUUUAAAGGGAGCGUAGAUGGGUUGUUAAGUUAGUGGUGAAAGUUUGCGGCUCAACCGUAAAAUUGCAAUUGAUACUGGUGGUCUUGAGUACAGUUGAGGUAGGCGGAAUUCGUGGUGUAGCGGUGAAAUGCUUAGAUAUCACGCAGAACUCCGAUUGCGAAGGCAGCUUACUAAACUGCCACUGACAUUGAUGCACGAAAGUGUGGGUAUCAAACAGGAUUAGAUACCCGGGUAGUC
Molecule: ribosomal RNA, 460 nt
Filed under: uncultured bacterium
Lineage: Bacteria
Description: partial 16S ribosomal RNA
Rfam family: Bacterial small subunit ribosomal RNA
Source: RNAcentral